CCUACGGGAGGCAGCAGUGGGGAAUCUUAGACAAUGGGCGCAAGCCUGAUCUACCCAUGCCGCGUGUGUGAUGAAGGUCUUAGGAUCGUAAAGCACUUUCGCCAGGGAUGAUAAUGACAGUACCUGGUAAAGAAACCCCGGCUAACUCCGUGCCAGCAGCCGCGGUAAUACGGAGGGGGUUAGCGUUGUUCGGAAUUACUGGGCGUAAAGCGUACGUAGGCGGAUCAGAAAGUUGGGGGUGAAAUCCCGGGGCUCAACCCCGGAACUGCCUCCAAAACUCCUGGUCUUGAGUUCGAGAGAGGUGAGUGGAAUUCCAAGUGUAGAGGUGAAAUUCGUAGAUAUUUGGAGGAACACCAGUGGCGAAGGCGGCUCACUGGCUCGAUACUGACGCUGAGGUACGAAAGUGUGGGGAGCAAACAGGAUUAGAUACCCUGGUAGUCCACACCGUAAACGAUGAAUGCCAGUCGUCGGGCAGUAUACUGUUCGGUGACACACCUAACGGAUUAAGCAUUCCGCCUGGGGAGUACGGUCGCAAGAUUAAAACUCAAAGGAAUUGACGA
This 560-nucleotide ribosomal RNA is filed under the name Sulfitobacter sp. ICS20428. RNAcentral describes it as "bacterial SSU rRNA". It matches the Rfam family "Bacterial small subunit ribosomal RNA", at positions 338 to 916 of the family's 1533-position model. The record is from RNAcentral. Lineage: Bacteria; Pseudomonadati; Pseudomonadota; Alphaproteobacteria; Rhodobacterales; Roseobacteraceae.